GUAGGUGAACCUGCGGAAGGAUCAUUACUGAACUGUCGACACGAGUUGUUGCUGGUCCUCGAAAGGGGGGCAUGUGCACGCUCUGUUUACACAUCCACUCACACCUGUGCACCCUCUGUAGUUCUGUGGCACUGGGGACUCUGUCCUCUUGCUGUGGUCCUACGUCUUUACACACACACCGUAAUACAGUCUCAUGGAAUGUAUGUCGCGUUUAACGCAAUACAAUACAACUUUCAGCAACGGAUCUCUUGGCUCUC
This 257-nucleotide unclassified non-coding RNA is filed under the name rhizosphere metagenome. Its description in RNAcentral is "partial ribosomal RNA internal transcribed spacer region". The record is from RNAcentral.